AAUGUACGUUGUUAGUGAUACCAUUUGAUUGAUCGAAGCGGUUUAAAUAAUUAAUGGGCAUGAGACACGGUUAAAAUGGCUAAUUAAUGAAGAACAUGGUUGAGUUUUGGAAUCUUAAUUAGAUCCGAAAACCCUUCUGUUUUGUUCUGCAUUUUGCUCUGUUGGUAACAUAACAUCACCUGAACAGCUCUGACAAGCGCAAUCUCAGUUAAGUUUGUAAUUAGACUUUUCUUGCUUUUGGUCCACACUUCCCUUUCUUUUGGGGUAUUUUUUUUUUAAUCUCUUUUACAUUUUUGUCGGUAAGUCUUGGAUACUUAAGAUCA
This 323-nucleotide long non-coding RNA is filed under the name Aquilegia coerulea. RNAcentral's name for it is "long non-coding RNA (ACOE_LNC000888)". Lineage: Eukaryota; Viridiplantae; Streptophyta; Magnoliopsida; Ranunculales; Ranunculaceae. The record is from RNAcentral.